GACCGCUUAGCUCAGUUGGCCAGAGCGCUACGUUGACAUCGUAGAGGUCGGAGGUUCAAGUCCUCCAGCGGUCA
RNAcentral lists this transfer RNA (74 nucleotides) under Candidatus Pacebacteria bacterium CG10_big_fil_rev_8_21_14_0_10_56_10. RNAcentral describes it as "tRNA-Val". It matches the Rfam family "tRNA". From Rfam's summary of the family: Transfer RNA (tRNA) molecules are approximately 80 nucleotides in length. Their secondary structure includes four short double-helical elements and three loops (D, anti-codon, and T loops). The record is from RNAcentral. Lineage: Bacteria; Bacillati; Minisyncoccota.